This 270-nucleotide unclassified non-coding RNA is filed under the name Hevea brasiliensis (rubber tree). Lineage: Eukaryota; Viridiplantae; Streptophyta; Magnoliopsida; Malpighiales; Euphorbiaceae. The record is from RNAcentral.
AAUAUGAUGUAGAACACACGACCUAAAAGAGAGAUAAAUAAAUUAACAAACAUACAAUAAAAUAAAUGAAUUAGAGCUUGUUUAUUGAAAUUAUUUGAAAGAAAAAGAACCAAAUAAUUGAUUGGCAAAUUCUGCUCUGUAAACUGUAGCAGGACUCAACCAAACCCAAACUCUCACAUUAUGUGGAGUGUAUGGAGGUUUUUCAAAGGUAAGGUAAGCUAAUGGAAUGGAAGGCAUCAAAACCUACCAACACUCCAAUUUGGUGGGUUG